Ochotona princeps (American pika) is the source of this 106-nucleotide small nuclear RNA. The record is from Ensembl. NCBI's taxonomy places the organism in Eukaryota, Metazoa, Chordata, Mammalia, Lagomorpha, Ochotonidae.
GUGUUCGCUUAGCAGCACAUAUACUAAAAUUGGAACAACACCGAAAAGAUUAGCAUGGCUCCUGCGCAAGAAUGACACGCAAACUUGUAAAGCAUUCCUUAUUAAA